CUGCUGCUAUGCCACCACCCGCCGACUCCACUCCCACACGACCCACCCCGAGACAGAUCUAGAUCGAGACCCUCUCCACCGGCGGCCUCCCCUUCCUCAACCUCCUCUCUUCUCCCAGCCCCCGCACACAUGGGAAACUACUGCUCGGCGUCUCCAGCAAUCAAGCAGCGGCCAAGGCCGGGCUCCCGGGCUCCGUGCGGCAUCGUCUCUUCCUUCCCCGCCGUCAUCUGUCAGCGUCAUCGUCGUGGUCUGGCCCUUCGCGCCACAACGGUAGAAGAUAGCGACAGAGUGGGAAGGUUUGUGCAAAUAUCUUCUCCUCCAUCCCCGUCCGCGUCAAAGCUGCUGGGUGCAUCCAUCCAACAUCUUCAGAUCUGAGUGAAGAGGACAUCCGUCCAUCUCAAAAGGCGAUGGCUCCAAGGCAUCUACAAUCAGUAUUUGCAUGUUCUUAGCAGACAAAUCUGGGAGAAUGUACUAGCUGCAUAUAUUGGUUCUUGGGUUUAUUAUUAGAGCUUUUUAUCUGCAUAUAUACAUAGGAGUGAGAAUGCCCAGGUAUGCGACCCUAAAUUUAGUUUCACUGCUUUCUUACUCAUGGGAUUUAUCCAAUUAAUAACUAUAAUGGAUUAAUGAGAAAAAUACAAGGGAAAUUAGCUUUAUAAAAAUGAAACUAUUCAUGGUAAACAUUUGGCAGAAGAGAAUCACAAAAUGAACAACAGCCUCCCUCACGGGAAACAUGAGGUGUGGUAAAAUGCUCACUUAAAAAAUAAAAACUAGAGAUUACUUCCUGGUUUCCUUAUUCCUCGUUGCUACUGGUGCUGUCUGUUUAGGUAACCCUCUUCCUCAUGGUGUUCAGCUGGUUGGCACCAAUCUACUAAGUAUACAUAAAGUGAAUUUGAGUUAUAUAAAUAAGCUAACUGUCUACAAGACAUCACUAACAUAGAACAAAAUGAUGUAGUCUAGAGUGCAGCAUGACUUUGUUUUUUCUGCUCUUUUUCGUAAGCAUACCAAAGAAAAUCCAACCUCAAGCCUUUGAAAGUUUGAACCAUUGAUCUGCUCUAUGCUUCCUAUCCAUUUCACAUCAAUUAAGUGCGUCGACAUCGACAUCGACACGGGGCUGGAGCGGCGGCGACGACGACAUCGACACAGGGCUGCUGCAGCGACCACGACGACAUUGUGACGGUGCUGUGGCGCCGACAACGAUGACGACAACAUCAUCACGGUGCUGCGGCGCCAACAAUGACGACGACAACAUGGUCAGGGUGCUGCAGUGGCAGCGAUGCCGACGACAUCAACACGGGCUUGUGGAGGCACCGACGCUGACGACCUAUACGCGUGGCGUAUAUUGUAUAUAUAUGCGCAUUAAUUGUCUAUAUCAAAUAUGUAUGAUUGACUAUAUGCAGAACAUGUACUAUUAUGAAAUGCAUGUGACAUGAGUACUAUGAAAUGUAUGUC
Molecule: long non-coding RNA, 1449 nt
Organism: Triticum dicoccoides
Lineage: Eukaryota; Viridiplantae; Streptophyta; Magnoliopsida; Poales; Poaceae
Exons: 3
Source: RefSeq, a predicted model, not a curated record